CAGAUCAUGACUUCUACUCUUCCUCUCCCUGCAGUUUGGUGAACGUUACGAGAUGGCUACACUGAGGGAAAGAGUGAGAAGUUCAGUCAAGACAGUGCUCACUUUUCAUAGUGAAUCAGACACCUACGAGACCAAAGUUCACCAGUAGGGGGCCCCAUAUACAUUCAAGUGCUACAAAUUCUCCAAACAUACCAUAAAAGACAGUCCAAACCAGGCACGUGUUCACUUACAGUAGACAUCAAGUGGGAUCUUUUUUUUUUUUUUUUACAUGUGUGCGUGUUUCUGUUUGUGCAAAAUUGUCCCUGUCAAAAUAGUUUUGUCUUGCUAACAUCGAUGACUUA
Molecule: long non-coding RNA, 341 nt
Organism: Carassius auratus (goldfish)
Lineage: Eukaryota; Metazoa; Chordata; Actinopteri; Cypriniformes; Cyprinidae
Exons: 3
Source: RefSeq, a predicted model, not a curated record